CAGUAGCCGCGGUAAUACGAAGGGGGCUAGCGUUGUUCGGAAUUACUGGGCGUAAAGCGCACGUAGGCGGAUAUUUAAGUCAGGGGUGAAAUUCCAGAGCUCAACUCUGGAACUGCCUUUGAUACUGGGUAUCUUGAGUAUGGAAGAGGUGAGUGGAAUUCCGAGUGUAGAGGUGAAAUUCGUAGAUAUUCGGAGGAACACCAGUGGCGAAGGCGGCUCACUGGUCCAUUACUGACGCUGAGGUGCGAAAGCGUGGGGAGCAAACAGGAUUAGAUACCCGUGUAGUCCCUGUCUCUUAUAC
This 301-nucleotide ribosomal RNA is filed under the name uncultured bacterium. Its description in RNAcentral is "partial 16S ribosomal RNA". It matches the Rfam family "Bacterial small subunit ribosomal RNA", at positions 509 to 807 of the family's 1533-position model. The record is from RNAcentral.